This 496-nucleotide ribosomal RNA is filed under the name uncultured bacterium. RNAcentral's name for it is "partial 16S ribosomal RNA". It matches the Rfam family "Bacterial small subunit ribosomal RNA", at positions 28 to 506 of the family's 1533-position model. The record is from RNAcentral.
GAUGAACGCUGGCGGCGUGCCUAAUACAUGCAAGUCGAGCGAACAGACGAGGAGCUUGCUCCUCUGACGUUAGCGGCGGACGGGUGAGUAACACGUGGAUAACCUACCUAUAAGACUGGGAUAACUUCGUGAAACCGGAGCUAAUACCGGAUAAUAUAUUGAACCGCAUGGUUCAAUAGUGAAAGACGGUUUUGCUGUCACUUAUAGAUGGAUCCGCGCCGCAUUAGCUAGUUGGUAAGGUAACGGCUUACCAAGGCAACGAUGCGUAUCCGACCUGAGGGGGGGAUAGGCCACACUGGACCUGAGACACGGUCCAGACUCAUACGGGAGGCAGCAGGAGGGAAUCUGCCGAAAGGGGCGAAAGCUUGACGGAGCAACGCCGCGUGAGUGAGGAAGGUCUGCGGAUCGUAAAACUCUGUUAUUAGGGAAGAACAAAUGUGUAAGUAACUAUGCACGUCUGGACGGUACCUAAGCAGAAAGCCACGGCAAAAUACGU